This 5413-nucleotide long non-coding RNA is filed under the name Homo sapiens (human). Its description in RNAcentral is "non-protein coding TUG1:53". The stretch from base 392 to 628 matches the Rfam family "Taurine upregulated gene 1 conserved region 3". Lineage: Eukaryota; Metazoa; Chordata; Mammalia; Primates; Hominidae. The record is from RNAcentral.
GCAAUGUCUCCUUUGUUUUAUUGUUGGUAUAUAAACUUAAAAUCUCAGUUCUUUUUAUGGCACUUGUGGAGCCACUUCCUCUCCUCACCAAAAAAUGCCCAGUACCCUGAAUCCGAUCAAAUUACUCUCCUAAAGUAUAAGGCUUAGUUUCUGUGUGCUGCUUCGCGAGACAGUUCCCACAAAUCGAGAGUGUUAAUCAGACUUUUGUGUUUUCUUUUUUGGAUUGCUGUUGUUUGUUUUCAUUUAUCAUUUGUCUUUGCCUAAGCCAGGCUCAUCAAGAAUUAACAGCCAUCAGGCUGCCGAUGUGCUGACAGCAGACCCACUUAGAGUCCUGUGUUUGUAAUUCCAUGCAUUUGUUAUUUUACCUGUUUUGUCCCUGCCCCUUCUAGUCCUGUGCCUCCUGAUUGCUGAGUGUUCACCUGGACCUUCUGACUACCUUCCCUGUGCUAUUCCAUCAGCCUACAGACCUGGUACCUGGAUUUUUGCCCGAGAUGAUUCCUACCACCUUACUACUGACGAAGACACCCAUUCCAGUGGACCACUGUGACCCAGGAGGCAUUCAGCCAUCAUGAUGUGGCCUUUACCUCCACUCCUGUCUUGUUCUACCCAGAUUCAGCACAGCCCUUUAUAGUGAAGUCAGAGUCCUCAAGCCAAAUAGCUAAAGCUGUUUUAUCACAACAAAGGCCUAGUUUGUUCCAUGAGUGUGCAUUUCAUUUCUUCAGUUAAAGCCUUCAGAGACACACAAUAAAUUUGGACCAGGGGAUUUUUUAGUUAUUAAUGCUCUCUGAAGAAAGGCAACAUCUUUUUGAGAGCAGCAUUGGACCACACCCCACAAUCUCAAAUGAUUGAAAUUCAUGAACAUCUAGGAUCCCGUGAAGGUCACUGGACCCUGUUUUUUCUACUUCAAAUCCUGUAGUAGCCUACUGAAUGAGAAAACAUAUUCUGACCCAUUGGGAUCAAAUCAAAGGCACAGUGAACUCCUCAUAGCAUCUUCUUUGGAAUUACUCAGGAACCAGAACUUUUUACACAAAUGUAAGAAAUUCUACCAAGGAGUCCCCUUACCUAACAGCAUCUCACAAGGCUGCACCAGAUUCCAGAAAAGGCUUCUCUUGAUACAUCAAGCAUUUUGUGACCGACUUAUUCUUAGAUCAUUGGUUUUCCAAAGGCUUUGUGGCCAUGAAGCCCUUUGAGUGAAAACUGUGCAGAAGCCCAGAGUAAAAGUGAAGCUGCUCUGGAUGAAGUAGUGAAGCAAGAGUAGGGGCCUGAAUCCUGCUACAACUAUCUUCCUUUACCACCGUGGUGACACCUAAGGGGACUUCCUUACAACACCUUGAACUCUUCCGAACACAGUUUGAAAACCACUGCCCCAGACAGCAAUAUGUUUGACCUGAAUGGCAUUCCAAUCUUUUCUGUACCUCCACUCAGCACAGUUCAUGUUCAGUAGAUGCUGAACAUUCUUAGAAAUACUGUGUGUGAACUUAGAAAAGUGCAAGAAGACAGGCAUGUCUUUGACCCCAGGAAUGAUCAUUUGCUGAAGAUGGUGUCAAGUGAACCUAGAUUAACAGCCCUCCACUCCAGAUGGAUAUCCAGUGAUUCCUAGAAUGGGAUAUAGCCAGAGAACAAUUCUAUGCACCCUACACUGACAGACUCCCUUAAGCAACACCAGAUGCUCUACUGGUACUUGAAGUACAUGACUUUGAAGUCUUGACCCUCCAUGAAUACCUGAAUUAUCAGCAAGCGGGUUUUGAAGCUGGUGCCUCAUUGAGGCCAUAUUAGAGCAACUUGUACAUUUGACCUCUUGUUAUCAGCCAUGGUACUCUACUUCGUGUGCAAGAGAUAACUAUGAAAGCCAAAUUCAAAUACUGGCAACAUUUCCUAAAGGGGCUCAAUAUCUAUCAUUCGUCUUCUUUUCCAAACUACACAUCACUGUAUGACUCAACCAGUAGCAGUUAUAUUGCCCCUUGGUUUUUAUUCAGUUUAACUACUGUUUCCAAGAUAAAUGAGCUAAUAAGCUUUAAAAAAAAAAAAAAAAAAGGCUGAAUUCUUUUUUCUUCAUCACUGGCAUAUCUGCCUAUUCUCCAGAAUUAUUAUGACUAUUCAGCUCACUUUAACAGUUGAACUUCAAGCGACAAUCUUUGAACACCCCUUCUCAUGUGAUUUAAAAUGAAACCAUUUGGAAAAGUUUCUUCUAGCCAGUAAUAGAUUUUUUUUUUAAUUGCUCUGCCUUGUGCCGAGAGAUGUUCUUUUAAGAUGAAUCUUUUGAUGUCUGAUACCACCAAAUAUAGGUGGUAGGGAGAGUUGGAGGCUGGCCCUUUGAGCAGGCCAUUAGCUUACUUGCUGGGCAUUUCCGAUAGCUUAUUGCCUACCUUUUUGCUGGAAACAAACUGAUUUGAAAAACAAAAUCUAUGAAGACUGCAGCUAAGGAUUUUAUCGGUAGACUUAAGAGCUUUUGUCCUUGUGGAUAUUUUAGUGGAACCACAUCAGUCUCAAUACUGUCAUUUUACACUGACUCAGAGCAGCUGACUUCAUUCCUUGCCAUGAUAUAUAUUUAAGGCAGGCAUUGUAACAGACAUAAAGACAACUUAUCUGUUUCAGCAGGAAGGAUUCAGUUUAUGAACUCUCAGACCAGAUCAUGUUGAACAAGGAGACUUUGAUGUGUGUCAUGAGAAAACUCAUUCUUUACUUCCCAGUCAAUUUAAAGGCCAGCUAUCCUGAGCUACUCGAAUGAAUGCACUGGUUAAACAUUGGAAAUAGUUUGUUUAUAUCCUUGUCUCUCUCUAGGCCAAUUGUGAUUACAUGACUCGACUCUACAUCUCGUCAAACAAGGCCUAGGUCUGGUUGCUGUAGACUGCUCGCCCUCAACAAAUAAAAUCUGGUUGACUAGCCUCCUUGUAUAUACAACUAUUAUUUGUUAAGAAGAAAUUAUCGUCAAUUUUCUACUACCUUCCAAUUGUCAGCUCUUUUUUUCCUCUCUGGUUUUUCCUAUACUUUACAGAAAAAGACAUUGAUCUAUACUGCCAUUCCCUCUAAUCCUGCCAUACUCAGUCAAAAGGAAUGACUUAAGAUGAAGAUGAUCAUCUGCUCGAGUCUAAAAUAUACAUUGUAUAUAAGAAUUGGUGAUUAGAAAAGCAAAAAACCUAAAACUUAAAUCUAGGAGUCUGUAUACUGUCUCCAUGUCUCCAUGCCUCAGAUCUCAUCUAAAUCUUUGAACAGCACCAUUCAACCAAUCUGAGGCCUUGACUUGCUUGUAAGAUGAUUCUCAGAGAUCGGCUGAGUUAAAAAAGAUGACGACUUGAUUACCAAAGAAAGUAGGGCCAACUUUGACAAAUCUGGCUCUGCUGACCCUGUCACUCCCAGAUGUAGCAUAGACUCCUAAACAGAACCUCAAGUCUGAUUGAGGAUAAGGCCUUCUCCUGAGCUGAAAGUUCUUUGGCAGAUGAGCAAGAAACUGAAAGCUGAUGUACCUGACUGGCUCUGUAAGAUCAGAAAACUGUAUCCAGAAUAAGCCCUAUGGAUUAACCCCUGAGUACCCAGAGUAAAAACUAAUUUACAGAACUUCCUUAUUGAUCUGCUGGUUCUUCCAGAUCAUAUUCUGGCUAUUGGUAUGGCUGGCCUUUCUGAAGGUACCCUGCUUGUCUAUUUUCCUGACUCAGCUCUUGCCUGCCUUUUUCACAUGUUGCUGCAAUUAGACUCACCGUGAGGACUACAGUCAAUUUCAGUCUAUCUUGUGCCCAAUACAACAAGGAUUUUUAAUAGUAACAACCCACACCUCACCCACUAGGACUCAAUGUUCACAACAGGAAGGACCAUUGCUGCAUACUCCUUGACCAGCAACUUUUUUGAAGAUAUUUUUAAGUGCAGAGUAGGCCUCUAUUCCUGUAUGUAAUUGUUCAUUUUCAGCACCUGGAACCUCAUCUAUCGGGUCUGGAAGGAAUACAGCAGUUCGAAAGCCGCGUCCAUUUCUCUCCUUCAGUAGUGCAGAAAUGAGUCCGAUUCACCAGUACACACAGAACUGUACCAGUUCAACCUAGCAAAAGAAGAAAAGUUUCCACUGUACUUAAAAUUUACAGCUGACUCAAAUUGCCUCACAGAAUUAUUUGAUGUAGAAGGCUAGUUGUCUUACUUCAGAUCAGCAGGACAGUUGGGCUCUCAGACUCAUGACCACUGAGUUUGCUUGUGUUGAAACUGUGGUUUCAUCCAACAUAUGCUAUUGGACAUGAUUAUUAUUCCAUUCAAAUGGAUUACAGACUUCUUGAGGACAGGACAAACUUAUCUCUCAUGGUGUUUUUUUAGAAUACUUUUAUAACCAAGGAAGAAACCAUGCCAGCUGUUACCAUUCAACUUCUUAAGCAGAGAUUAAGCUUUUUCAUAUCUGUUCUUAUCCUGGACAUCAGUAGUUUUUAAUUGCCCAGCAUCCGUUCCAUCUUGUAACAACUCCCUGAUGUUUCUUAAAACCACCUCUUCCUAUUUUCAGUCUGUGGUUUGGACAGUCUGACCCAACCUUGAGCUUUGUGGGUGAACAUGUAAUUCAGACCUCAUCAAUCAGCAAAUCCAUCUGAACUGUGGAGGAGAAGCUCUCUUUACUGAGGGUGCUUUAGCUUUGUAGGAUGAAAACCUCAAACUAACAGGGCCUACCAUGUAGAGAAUGAAGCCAGUGCAGGGGAAAGCAGAGCCAAAAUAUGGAGAGACUUGAAUCCUGAUGACAGCGUUUGUGCCCCUGGAUCCAACCGUGCCUGAAGCUAGAAUAUCCCCUGGACUUUUCAGUUAUGUGAACCAAUAAAUACCCUUUUUUGCUUAAGUUACUUUGAGUUGGGUUUCUGUUACUUGAAAUUGAAUCCACACUAAUAUAUCUACCAACAUUGAGACUUGACAGAUCCAAGUAUUUAUUAAGCUAGAGGUCAUGGUCACUGAAAUUACUUUCCAAAGUGGAAGACAAAAUGAAACAGGAACUGAGGGAAUAUUUAAGAUCCCACAGAAGCGUAAAAAUGACAUGGUAGAAAGUAAUAGAAAACCUAAAUGUCUGUCAUUAAAGGAUAGGUUAAGGUGUGGUUCAGCCAUAUAGGAAUAUCUCGUAUCUGUUAAAAUGAAUAAAGUACAUUCAUUGUGUAUGGAAAAAUGGCCAUGAUACAUUAGGUGAAACAAGUUAUUAAUAGAAAAGUGUACAGUGUGAACUCAUUUUAAAAUGUGUGUGCUUAUGUUUAUAAAUGCAUAGAAAGGUCUAUUCACAGCUUUCUUUGAACAGUGUAGAUCACAUGAAACUUUCAACUUUAUACAUUUCUGUAUUAAUAUUUUACACUACCCACAUUAUUUUUAAACUUUAUUUUAAAUAAAGAAUUUUUAAAAUUAAAUUUAGUGCUUACUGUUUGACCUUGGCAAGUUAUUCAACACUGAGCCUGUUUUAUCAAAUGAUUUA